AGAGUUUGAUCCUGGCUCAGAACGAACGCUGGCGGCGUGCCUAACACAUGCAAGUCGAACGGAGGUAGGGAGCUUGCUCCUUACUUUAGUGGCGCACGGGUGAGUAACGCGUAGAUAAUCUGCCCUGGUAUCUGGGAUAACAUUUCGAAAGGGGUGCUAAUACCGGAUAAGCCCACGACGGCUUUGGUCGUUGCGGGAAAAGGAGGCCUCUGAAUAUGCUUCUGUAUCAGGAUGAGUCUGCGUACCAUUAGCUAGUUGGUGAGGUAAUGGCUCACCAAGGCGACGAUCCGUAACUGGUCUGAGAGGAUGAUCAGUCACACUGGAACUGAGACACGGUCCAGACUCCUACGGGAGGCAGCAGUGGGGAAUAUUGGACAAUGGGCGAAAGCCUGAUCCAGCCAUGCCGCGUGUGUGAAGAAGGUCUUCGGAUUGUAAAGCACUUUAAGUUGGGAGGAAGGGUUGUAGGUUAAUACCCUGCAAUUUUGACGUUACCAACAGAAUAAGCACCGGCUAACUUCGUGCCAGCAGCCGCGGUAAUACGAAGGGUGCAAGCGUUAAUCGGAAUUACUGGGCGUAAAGCGCGCGUAGGUGGUUCAGCAAGUUGGAUGUGAAAGCCCCGGGCUCAACCUGGGAACUGCAUCCAAAACUACUGAGCUAGAGUACGGUAGAGGGUGGUGGAAUUUCCUGUGUAGCGGUGAAAUGCGUAGAUAUAGGAAGGAACACCAGUGGCGAAGGCGACCACCUGGACUGAUACUGACACUGAGGUGCGAAAGCGUGGGGGGCAAACAGGAUUAGAUACC
RNAcentral lists this ribosomal RNA (800 nucleotides) under uncultured Pseudomonadaceae bacterium. RNAcentral describes it as "bacterial SSU rRNA". It matches the Rfam family "Bacterial small subunit ribosomal RNA", at positions 8 to 786 of the family's 1533-position model. The record is from RNAcentral. Lineage: Bacteria; Pseudomonadati; Pseudomonadota; Gammaproteobacteria; Pseudomonadales; Pseudomonadaceae.